Molecule: ribosomal RNA, 132 nt
Filed under: uncultured bacterium
Lineage: Bacteria
Description: partial 16S ribosomal RNA
Rfam family: Bacterial small subunit ribosomal RNA
Source: RNAcentral
UGGGGAAUAUUGGACAAUGGGCGCAAGCCUGAUCCAGCCAUGCCGCGUGAGUGAUGAAGGCCUUAGGGUUGUAAAGCUCUUUCACCGGUGAAGAUAAUGACGGUAACCGGAGAAGAAGCCCCGGCUAACUUC